RNAcentral lists this ribosomal RNA (497 nucleotides) under uncultured bacterium. RNAcentral's name for it is "partial 16S ribosomal RNA". It matches the Rfam family "Bacterial small subunit ribosomal RNA", at positions 28 to 507 of the family's 1533-position model. The record is from RNAcentral.
GAUGAACGCUGGCGGCGUGCCUAAUACAUGCAAGUCGAGCGAACAGACGAGGAGCUUGCUCCUCUGACGUUAGCGGCGGACGGGUGAGUAACACGUGGAUAACCUACCUAUAAGACUGGGAUAACUUCGGGAAACCGGAGCUAAUACCGGAUAAUAUAUUGAACCGCAUGGUUCAAUAGUGAAAGACGGUUUUGCUGUCACUUAUAGAUGGAUCCGCGCCGCAUUAGCUAGUUGGUAAGGUAACGGCUUACCAAGGCAACGAUGCGUAGCCGACCUGAGAGGGUGAUCGGCCACACUGGAACUGAGACACGGUCCAGACUCCUACGGGAGGCAGCAGUAGGGAAUCUUCCGCAAUGGGCGGAAGCCUGACGGAGCAACGCCGCGUGAGUGAUGAAGGUCUUCGGAUCGUAAAACUCUGUUAUUAGGGAAGAACCAAUGUGUAAGUAACUAUGCACGUCUUGACGGUACCUAAUCAGAAAGCCACGGCUAACUACGUG